This 481-nucleotide ribosomal RNA is filed under the name uncultured bacterium. RNAcentral describes it as "partial 16S ribosomal RNA". It matches the Rfam family "Bacterial small subunit ribosomal RNA", at positions 28 to 507 of the family's 1533-position model. The record is from RNAcentral.
GAUGAACGCUGGCGGCGUGCUUAACACAUGCAAGUCGAACGAAGCACUUUAUUUGAUUUCCUUCGGGACUGAUUAUUUUGUGACUGAGUGGCGGACGGGUGAGUAACGCGUGGGUAACCUGCCUUGUACAGGGGGAUAACAGUUGGAAACGGCUGCUAAUACCGCAUAAGCGCACGGCAUCGCAUGAUGCAGUGUGAAAAACUCCGGGGGUAUAAGAUGGACCCGCGUUGGAUUAGCUAGUUGGUGAGGUAACGGCCAACCAAGGCGACGAUCCAUAGCCGACCUGGGAGGGGGACCGGCCACAUUGGGACUGAGGCACGGCCCAAACUCCUACGGGAGGCAGCAGUAGGGAAUAUUGUACAAUGGGCGAAAGCCUAAUGCAGCGACGCCGCGUGAGCGAAGAAGUAUUUCGGUAUGUAAAGCUCUAUCAGAAGGGAAGAGAAUGACGGUACCUGACAAAGAAGCACCGGCUAAAUACGUG